AUGGGAGAGGGACGCGACGGAGCAAUCCACACGCUGCCACCGCCGGAUGCAGGUGCACCCCAACGAGGACGCGCUGCUCCUCGCAUGGGUCUACCGCCGGUCCCUCAUGACGACGAAGAUGGACGCUCGCCGCCUCCGAGAAAGAACGACACGGCGCUCCGGCUUGCUAUUGAGCAAGCGGAGCGCGAGGCGAAGGAGGCAGCAACGGAGAAGGCCCGGGUCGCCAAGUUGAAGCUAAAGCAGGACAGGGCGGUUCGUCGGAUGAAGGGGCUCAUCGUCCUCUCCGACUCCGACUCCGACAACGGCUACCGCGACAGCUGCACCUCCUCCUCGGACGACCAAGACCCUCCACCAGCCGCGGACGCCUACAACUGCGCCGGCGACCGGAAGGGCAAAGGCCCGCCGAGGAAGUGAGGCGAAGUCGGCGGAUCCAUGGAGGGCGCGGCGGUGGGAGUGCAUGCUGCGAGUGAUACCAGCAGACGCAGCUUUGUGGAGCGCCUCCUCGUCGACGGCGUGAAGUCAGGAUUGAGCGCGGAGGCCCAGGAGGGGGAGAGUGUUCGGGAGGGGAAGUACAAAUCCACACCUCCAAGCUCCCCGAUCCAGUUGGCCAAGCGUGCGAAUCAAAGAGCGCCGUCGCCGCCGACGCUGGUUACUUCCUCUCCGGUGAGGAUAAAGCAGGGAGGAAGAUGUGUCGCUGCUCGGAGGGCCCUGCUUGUCAGUGGCAGGGUGGAGAUGAGGCCCGGGAUGGAGACACUUGGUGAAUCCUGGAUGGCUGGUGCUCGAAAAGGGGAAACGCCCAAGCAGAAGGCGCCUCCGACAGAUUCUAUAAGAGAGAGCGAGGCCCCAACUGCUCCCCAAGCUAGGGUUCAUCUUCUCCGCCGCCGCCGAGCGGCUCCUCCUGGCUCACUAGUGUGGGUUAGGAAAGAUCUGUUCCAGAGUGGUGAAUUCUCAGCCAAAGAUUGCCAUCCAGUUGGAGCAGCUGAUCAUCUGCCCCACCCGAAGCAGUUCAGUUUCUCUAGAGAUUGGUGGGCUAGGAAGCACGGGAAAAUUCCUUUCGCUGUUGUGGUAAAAGGGAUGGUCGGAGCUGGAAGAGAUGGUUCUCGAGGAGGAGGGCGAUAUGCAGCAGGAAGGGGGAGGAACGAGACAGGCCGGGGUGGUUCUGCUAACCCCAAAUCAGUAGGAGGAGGGGAGGCGCAACACCAGACUGCUCGCCCCCCUGCGCCCCAGAUGCCUCCCAUCUCUAUUUACUCCAGGCCACCAAUCGUACCUCUGCCUCAACCGAAUCAGAUGUUUCCGCAGGGCCUGAUGUAUGCAGGCUUAGUGGUUGUGGAGGAAGGGAACAUCACAGGUGAUGAACUUGGACAGUGUUUUGCAGAGAUGUUGAAAACCAACUGGCCAUGGCAGAUAAGACCAUAUGACAAAAACAAGUUCCUGGUGAGAUUCCCUCCAAACAAAAGAAUUGCUGAGCUUGCUGAAUACCCAUCUAUGAACUUGAAGAGGAAGAAAUCAACUAUAUCCUUCAUGAAAUGGGGAGGAGAAAUGCCUGUAUUUGACUCUUUGAUAGAAACUUGGGUAGUAAUGGAAGGACUGCCCCCAAAGUGGAUAAGCUGGAGUGUGAUAGCUCAAGUGGCUACCAUUUUAGGGGUCCUGGUGAAUGUUGACUGGCACAUGAUAUUCAGAAGCUUUUAUGAAGAAGUAAGGAUUCAGGUUGCAGUCAGAGACCCCAGCAAAAUUCCCACUGACAGAGUGGUGGAAAUUCAGCAUGAGCUAUUUUUGCUGAGGUUUGCAGUGGAGAAAGAUACUGAUGAGAGCUCUAACUCUGACAAUCCAUCUGACCCUGCUGAGAACAAGAUUGAGGACUCCAAUGUCAACAGUGAUGAUGAUCUACUGGGAGAGGAAAUGGAAACUGAGAUAGAAAAGUCUGGGAAAAAUAAUACCCCAAGACCCUCUGCUGCUCCUAGAGGAUCCAAAUCGAAUAGCUACAAAACUCCUGGGGCUGCUAUGGAGAUGGCUACAGGAUCCAAAAAUCAAAGAGCACCAAUGACUAAAAGCUAUUUAGAAGUGGUCCAGAAGAGAGCUAGAGAGGAUGGGGGAGAAUGUUUGCUACCCAGCUUUGAAGCUGUGUUUAACCAAAAUCAAGACAGGGCUGGUGGUCUGAUGAAGAACAAACCUGCUAUGAAAUGGGCGCCUAUAGAAGCCACUAGAAUGAGUGACAGGAUCAAAAGAGAUGGAAAGCCUGCUCUGACCAAAUCCCAAGAAUUAAAGCAGAAGAAAAACUUGGAGAUACCAAAAGGGGAGGAGUUCAAUUAUGCUGAGCCUGAUCCCAUUGGCAAAGACAUUAAUGAGUAA
This 2349-nucleotide ribosomal RNA is filed under the name Triticum aestivum (bread wheat). Its description in RNAcentral is "partial small subunit ribosomal RNA". Lineage: Eukaryota; Viridiplantae; Streptophyta; Magnoliopsida; Poales; Poaceae. The record is from RNAcentral.